AGCCACCAGUACUAUGGCUGAGCAGAAAAAUAUCCCAGAGAGAGGUUGUCAUAGGAACUGUACCAGAGGAGCAGCUACGCACAUGACAGGUUGUACCAUGCAAAGAAGAGAAGAAGAAACUGAUCUUGAAGCUACUCUUACCAUCAGUUUUAGGGAACAAAUCUUUCAUGAAUCUCCUCAUGGAAAUUGUCCUCAGUGACAGCAGGGGUAGGUGAGAUACUACAAGGCUAUGGGGCUGAUGAUAUAUGUACCUUACAGGAUUUUUAUAGGAGAUUAAAAUAGAUAAGAUACGUUAAAUAUCUACUACAUAAAGUUCCUGAAAAAACAGUAACAAAUAGCAAUAAUCUUUAAUGUCUCAUGUAAUCCUCGCUAUAGCCCUCUAAGGAAGACACAGUCAUUAUUCAAAAUUUCCAGAUGAACAAAUGAAGCACUUGUUCAAGGUCACAUGUGUUCCAGUCAGAAGAUUCUGAAAUGCCUAAGCCCCUUCUUACAAGGGAGGCUGCAGGUAUAAUGGAGUUAUAAUGGAGGUUUCGUUGUCUGGGGAAAAUGGCCAUGAUGACCGGAAGGAACCUUACUGCCUACUGCACUCUCGGGAUGUACCCAGCAUUCCACAGACAGGGUUAGGCGUCAUUGGGGAAGUGGGGAGAGAAGGGAGAUUGCAGAGGAAAGGGAUUCCUGGGCUCCUACUCAGGAAAGACUCUGUAAAGACUGAGGAAGCUCACUGAAAAAUAAAUAUUUCAACUGCGGA
Long non-coding RNA from Suricata suricatta (meerkat), 748 nucleotides. RefSeq lists it as uncharacterized. NCBI's taxonomy places the organism in Eukaryota, Metazoa, Chordata, Mammalia, Carnivora, Herpestidae. The transcript is spliced from 2 exons. The record is from RefSeq and is a predicted model, not a curated record.